GACGAACGCUGGCGGCGUGCCUAAUACAUGCAAGUUGAGCGCUGAGGGUUGGUACUUGUACCAACUGGAUGAGCAGCGAACGGGUGAGUAACGCGUGGGGAAUCUGCCUUUGAGCGGGGGACAACAUUUGGAAACGAAUGCUAAUACCGCAUAAAAACUUUAAACACAAGUUUUAAGUUUGAAAGAUGCAAUUGCAUCACUCAAAGAUGAUCCCGCGUUGUAUUAGCUAGUUGGUGAGGUAAAGGCUCACCAAGGCGAUGAUACAUAGCCGACCUGAGAGGGGUGACCGGCCACAGUGGGACGGAGCAACGCCCCAACCCCCAGGGGGGGGAGGAGGUAGGGACCCUUGGGAAAGGGACGAAAGUCGGACCGAGAACCGCCGGGGGAGGGAAGAGGUUUUUCGGAUCAAAAAACUUGGUUGGUAGAGAAAAACGGUGGGGAGAGGGAAAACCCCAUCAAGUGAGGGUAACUACCAAAAAGGGGACGGCUAACUACGUG
RNAcentral lists this ribosomal RNA (498 nucleotides) under uncultured bacterium. Its description in RNAcentral is "partial 16S ribosomal RNA". It matches the Rfam family "Bacterial small subunit ribosomal RNA", at positions 28 to 507 of the family's 1533-position model. The record is from RNAcentral.